GAUGAACGCUGGCGGCGUGCCUAAUACAUGCAAGUCGAGCGAACAGAUGAGGAGCUUGCUCCUCUGACGUUAGCGGCGGACGUGUGAGUAACACGUGGAUAACCUACCUAUAAGACUGGGAUAACUUCGGGAAACCGGAGCUAAUACCGGAUAAUAUAUUGAACCGCAUGGUUCAAUAGUGAAAGACGGUUUUGCUGUCACUUAUAGAUGGAUCCGCGCCGCAUUAGCUAGUUGGUAAGGUAACGGCUUACCAAGGCAACGAUGCGUAGCCGACCUGAGAGGGUGAUCGGCCAAACUGGAACUGAGACACGGUCCAGACUCCUACGGGAGGCAGCAGUAGGGAAUCUUCCGCAAUGGGCGAAAGCCUGACGGAGCAAAGCCGCGUGAGUGAUGAAGGUCUUCGGAUCGUAAAACUCUGUUAUUAGGGAAGAACAAAUGUGUAAGUAACUAUGCACGUCUUGACGGUACCUAAUCAGAAAGCCACGGCUAACUACGUG
Molecule: ribosomal RNA, 497 nt
Filed under: uncultured bacterium
Lineage: Bacteria
Description: partial 16S ribosomal RNA
Rfam family: Bacterial small subunit ribosomal RNA
Source: RNAcentral